ACGUGAUAAUGUUCAUCAAAUGUCUGACCUGAAAUGAGCAUGCAAAGUUAACACUGAAGGA
Molecule: small nucleolar RNA, 61 nt
Filed under: Cebus imitator (Panamanian white-faced capuchin)
Lineage: Eukaryota; Metazoa; Chordata; Mammalia; Primates; Cebidae
Source: RNAcentral